AAUGUUUCAAAUUGCUUACACUUUGUAAAAUAUUAUAUUCGACAGUAAAUAAGCUCAUUAUAACCAAAGUGAUUACCAUCCCCUAUCCCUUAGGACCCACCUUGAUUAUAACCGCCUAUUUUAAAUUAGAGUGACAAUUUCAUGGCUACAAUCUUUGCUCCAUAAACCUUGGAAGCGUAAGCGUUUUGUCAAAAAUAUCCGAAAAAUGCCACCCAUAACAAUGUUAUCGUUCUUGACCAAAUUAUAAACAAGUAAACAAAAUCAGUUUGUAGCAACAAGCGAAGUUGUGCUGCGAGAAAUCUAAUAUAAACUGCAAAUUGACCAGAGAAAUAUAAAACAUUAUGAGCGGGACGAAGUGCAGGCUAUGUCUCUGUUCCGUGGAUAAGCAAACAGGACUUUUUUGCUCAGUAAAAGAUGAAACCUUCAGUGGCAUGCUGAAGACGGUGUUUUCCUUCCCUGUAUCAUCGGUGUAUACAGUCGCUAACAAAACCUACAACAUGCCCGCUUUGGUGUGCCUCCUGUGUGCGACAAGCAUUCGCAACUUUUUUGAUUUCAGUCAAAAGGUUGCAGCUGUUCAGAAGAAACUGGAAAAGGAAUGCUUGAGCAACGAUGAUAGUAUGUCGAUUUCUGAGCUUCUUCAACUCGUUAAGACGGAACCUGUGUUGGGGGAAGAUGUUUUCGAACGGAACGGUAAUGAAUCGCUCGACAUGUCUGUGGACAUCGAAGCCAUUUCGUUGCCAACAAACCAAAAGCAAAAUAGCGAUGUUAGAAAUGUAUGCAGUGGUCAAUCAGGUCAGAAUCAAAAUUGGACAAGUGAUCGCACAGAUAAAUUCGUUAAUUGCAUUGACACUAAAAAGGUCAUCGAUAGCAUUGCAACUGUAGAAAGGCGUAUGAACACUGUUGUAUCGCGAUUGGAUAUGCUCCUUCGAAAGAGUUUAAAUCCGGCACAAACAAGCAGUCAUGAUACUUUUGAGUUUAAGCUUGUUAGCAAUGAGGAGGAGUGUGUAGCAUUCGAUGCUAAACUAUCUGAAGCAGCGUACAUGGACAAAAUAAUAAAUUGGAUUGCCAGGAGAUCAGGAUCCAAUGACGGUAGACAACGUAUGUUUUUAUCAGUUGAUUUAAUUUUUACUAGGGCCUUUUUCACGAAAUGUACAUGGACAGGAGCCUCACAGAUAGGUGAACAAAAGAUAGCCUUCAAACGAUUCCAAAACAUAUUGAAGCUGUACCGAUUGAUUGGGUCUACUAUCACCACAGUUACGACCGAUGAAGAUGUUCAAAAAUUUUUAAGAUUAAAACUAAAUAAUGCCAAAACCAGGGAGAAGGCAAGAGGACUUCGUCGUUCUGUCAUGCGUCGACAACGCGUAAGGAAAAGCAAGCAGGCAGCAGAAAUAACUUCUGAAGGGGGUUAAGAUAUCUUUACGAAAUGCAUUAAAAAAUGAUGAUGGUGAUAAUGAUCUGUCCCACCUCAACAUAGGAUGCUAAAAGUAUGUUAGGUAUGAAGUCCCGUAUAACCGCCAAUUUUAAAUUAGAGUGACAAUUUCAUGGCUACAAUCUUUGCUCCAUAAACCUUGAAACCGUAAGCGUUUUGUCAAAAAUAUCCGAAUAAUGCCACCCAUAACAAUGUUAUCGUUCUUGACCAAAUUAUAAACAAGUAAACAAAAUCAGUUUGUAGCAACAAGCGAAGUUGUACUGCGAGAAAUCUAAUAUAAACUGCAAAUUGACCAGAGAAAUAUAAAACAUUAUGAGCGGGACGAAGUGUAGGCUAUGUCUCUGUUCCGUGGAUAAGCAAACAGGCCUUUUUUGCUCAGUAAAAGAUGAAACCUUCAGCGGCAUGCUGAAGACGGUGUUUUCCUUCCCUGUAGCAUCGGUGCAUACGGUUGCGAACAAAACCUACAACAUGCCCGCUUUGGUGUGUCUCCUGUGUGCGACAAGCAUUCGCAACUUUUUUGAUUUCAGUCAAAAGGUUGCAGCUGUUCAGAAGAAACUGG
Anopheles coustani is the source of this 1988-nucleotide RNA transcript. RefSeq lists it as uncharacterized. Lineage: Eukaryota; Metazoa; Arthropoda; Insecta; Diptera; Culicidae. The transcript has 3 exons. The record is from RefSeq and is a predicted model, not a curated record.